Molecule: ribosomal RNA, 759 nt
Filed under: Neisseria subflava
Lineage: Bacteria; Pseudomonadati; Pseudomonadota; Betaproteobacteria; Neisseriales; Neisseriaceae
Description: bacterial SSU rRNA
Rfam family: Bacterial small subunit ribosomal RNA
Source: RNAcentral
AUUGAACGCUGGCGGCAUGCUUUACACAUGCAAGUCGGACGGCAGCACAGAGAAGCUUGCUUCUUGGGUGGCGAGUGGCGAACGGGUGAGUAAUAUAUCGGAACGUACCGAGUAAUGGGGGAUAACUAAUCGAAAGAUUAGCUAAUACCGCAUAUUCUCUGAGGAGGAAAGCAGGGGACCUUCGGGCCUUGCGUUAUUCGAGCGGCCGAUAUCUGAUUAGCUAGUUGGUGGGGUAAAGGCCUACCAAGGCGACGAUCAGUAGCGGGUCUGAGAGGAUGAUCCGCCACACUGGGACUGAGACACGGCCCAGACUCCUACGGGAGGCAGCAGUGGGGAAUUUUGGACAAUGGGCGCAAGCCUGAUCCAGCCAUGCCGCGUGUCUGAAGAAGGCCUUCGGGUUGUAAAGGACUUUUGUCAGGGAAGAAAAGGCUGUUGCUAAUAUCGACAGCUGAUGACGGUACCUGAAGAAUAAGCACCGGCUAACUACGUGCCAGCAGCCGCGGUAAUACGUAGGGUGCGAGCGUUAAUCGGAAUUACUGGGCGUAAAGCGAGCGCAGACGGUUACUUAAGCAGGGUGUGAAAUCCCCGGGCUUAACCUGGGAACUGCGUUCUGAACUGGGUGACUAGAGUGUGUCAGAGGGAGGUAGAAUUCCACGUGUAGCAGUGAAAUGCGUAGAGAUGUGGAGGAAUACCGAUGGCGAAGGCAGCCUCCUGGGAUAACACUGACGUUCAUGCUCGAAAGCGUGGGUAGCAAACAGG